Molecule: long non-coding RNA, 4346 nt
Organism: Lycium barbarum (goji berry)
Lineage: Eukaryota; Viridiplantae; Streptophyta; Magnoliopsida; Solanales; Solanaceae
Exons: 3
Source: RefSeq, a predicted model, not a curated record
CCCCCCCCCCGGCACCCUAACCCAGAAGCCUAAACAAAAGAAAAAGAAAAACUCUUUCAGAACAGAUCGUCAAGAACACGAGAAUAGUUGCAAUCGGUGAAAUUGGAGAAUCGAAUAUUUACAGAAUUCUAGUUUGGAAGCUCUCUUUAGGUUUCCAUCUCUUCUCUCAUCAAGGUAUCAUAGUAUUUUUGUUGCGAAGAGCAAAAUUGAGUUACAAGCUUACAAAUUAGAGGUAAUUUUUUAACUUUCUCAGUUGUGUAGUUCACCAAAUUGGGCAUCUCUUACAAUUCAUGUCAUCCUCCGUUUUAACAACCCUACAUUUCACGAUUUUUUUUUUUUAAAAAAAGAAGAAAUUAGUGAUAAUAAGAAAAAUUAGGAUUAAAUUGUGGCAUUGAUUUCAGAUCCUUUGUCUAUAGCAACUAUGAUGUGGCAUUAGAAGGUGUUUUGUUUCUGCUAAUAUGGUAGUUGUGGUAAUUGUAUCAUUGAAGAAUUGCUUGUGAUUGAGUUGUGCUACUAUUUUGGUUGGCUGUUAGCGUUGGUUUUUGGCUAUUUUCCAUUGUCAUAGUCUGCUUAUUUACACUGGAUAUGUUGUUAUUGUUGUUCUAUAAUCUACUUAUUUAUGAUCGACCAGUUUGAAACCUGGAGAAAAAAUAAUUUAAUAGCGAAUGCCUUUGCAACUACCUUGAACCGAACUUUAAACAAUAAGGAUCCUAGUGUAAAGCUUGAAUUGUUAAAUGUAAUAACCUAUGGAACUUGUGAAGGGUGGAUAGAAUAUUAGUAGUUGUAGAAGCAUGUCAAACAUUUUGAGUUCAUAAUUGAAUGUGGACCUAAAUUACGUAAUUUAGUCCUUCCCUGCCAGUUGAGUUCUUUUUGCUUUCGGUUGCUUUCUAAUGACGAGACCAAGUUGCUUUUCAAUUCAGGAAACCAUUUGCAAUGCAGUGUUAACAUGAGGUGUUUUUUAUUCUGUCUUUCUCCAACUCAUGUGUAUUUGAGUGUUGUUUCAAAACGGAGAAGUUCUAGCUUGAGAGGAUAUAUCAUAAGAAGAUGAACCAUUGACAAUUUGCCGUAAAUUUUCUUACUAAAUUCUUUGUUGCUCACAUGUCUGCCUUUAGUUAAAAGUUUUUAGCAGCUGAUUAAAGUCAUUCAAGUCUUUGGUCAUUCCGUAUACUUUUAUUUCAUCUACUAGUUGUAGUUAUUCUGUAAUAUGCUCCCUACAUGUCUGUCACAAUCUCGAAUUAUUUGGAGAAAACAUGCAGUUGGAGAAGUUUUGUUCUCUCGCAGAUAUUUCUUGGUAUCAUGAACGAAUUAUCAGAUUGAACCAAAAAAAAUAAGAGGACAUGGAGUAUUCUGUACGUUGCCUAGACAGAGGAGGCAAUAGUUGAAGUUUCUAUACUGCUUCAUCCUUGAUUUUUCUAUUCAUUUUUUAAAUAGAAACUUCCACAUAAAGUAUUUUACAGUUAAUAUUUUUGCCUUUGUAACAGUUAUUCUAUUAUUCUAUGGUAGGCAGGGGCGGAGCCACCUUAGGGGAAACAGUGUCACGGGGCACCGCUUCGUCGAAAUUUUUCACUGUGCAUAUAUGAAAUUCAUAUUUUCCUGGACGGCUAAGUGAACCAACAGAUGAAUCUCCAUUUUCAUAUCCUUCUCGGAACAUCCAGCAAUUGCUAGCUCACUGGUCGGGCACUUCGAUUUUCUAGUUAAGGUCGUAGUGUGUUGUCAUGAUUAGGAAUAGUCGAAGUGCUAUUUGGCAUCCCUUUUCCUAUUGAAAACGUACUGAAUUAUUUUCUGGUGUGGCUUAAUAAUGCUAUGUGUUUUGGUUAGAUUAGAUUGACUUGAAUCCGUCAAAAUCUCAAAAGUAUGAAAUGGAAUCAACUUUGAAGGCUGCGAAACAUUCAUUCAUUCCACCUGGUGCCUUAGCAAGAGGACAAGGGAAAAGCUUUAGAGCUUUGAGUUUAGUAAGAGUAAAUACUGAACAAAGACCUCCGAUUGGCAAAAGUAAAAAGUGUAAUACAACAACUUCUUAUCUGAAUGAGCUAGCUCUGAAUGAGAGUCUUGCACGCUCCUGGUUUUGAUCCAUAGAAAGACUAUGUUUCCCUCUCUCAAGAAGCUGAACUGAUGCAAACACUCAGAGAAACGAAAUAAGUCCAUGUGAACCUUAAAAGGCAAAAAAUGUGAGAGUGUCGAUCAGGUGCAUAACUCAAAGCUGGAGUAAUGUUGAGCAUCACUUUUUACCACAAUCAAAUUGUUGGGAAGCAUCAUGCCUCAGCGAGACACUUAGCUAUAUUAGUUAAUGAUCGUAAUAUGUGUCCAUUGCGCGUACAUUAAUGGGCGGACAUCGAGGAUUAUAAGCUGGAUCACAUGUGGGCAGCUGUGACUAUAAGGAUUUAAAACAUGAGUUUUUUGUUUUGCCUUCUCCUUUUAUUCUUUUACAAAUGAAAACGAAAUACUUGUGAGCUUAUAUCAUUGUAUUUGUUGAGUUAUUUUCUAUUUGAUUUGUCAGAAUCUGUAAAGAAAAUAGUUGAUAUGCUAUAUUGGACUUGUGAAACUCAGUGUUAUUAAAAGUGCUCGCUUCAUCGCCUAAAUCAUUGAGGUAAGGAGACUGGCUUGUGCUUCAGAAGGCUGAGGCGACGCUGGUAGAAAGAAGGGACUCUUCUCCUCAAGAAGAUCGAAGUGGAGGAGAAGCGAGAAGCAUGCGCUUCGUUUAUUUUAAUAAAAGAUGACUUUAAACAGAAAAGGAUUCAACUUUCUUACUAGUUUUGCUGCUCUCUUCCUUGGUCUAGUUCUAUACUUCAAGCUACAGCCUGUUAGUUGGAUAGUAGUGCAUCGACUAUACUGGCUAUCAAAGAUGUGGAGAUAGCUUGUUCUCUGCAUUGAAUUUGAGUUCCAUUAUAUUCUCAUGAAGUAAGCUUAUCUCUUAUCCCUAUUUGUACGGUGUAUUUUGGCAUAAGCAAGACUUGAGGAUUAUGUUACCAAUACAUAAUAAUGGAGGUGAAUCAUGAUCGUAGAAAAUUCUUAUGCUAUUGGUACUCCGUCUGCAUUACUGCAUUUUGGAUCAUAGUACAUAGUUGGUACUAAUUCCUAUUAUUGUGGUCUUCUCUUUUUUUCUUUCAUAAGUUUAGUCUUUGCUAAUAAACUGACAUAAAUUUGAAACUUUUAAUAGGUCAAGAAUUUGAAGACUGAGAUAAGUUUGGUGGUGACAUGUUUUUUUAUGGUUAUUCUAUAAUUAGUUACUUCUUAGUGUUUCUCUUUUCUACUUUAAGUGGCUCUUGUUAUUAAAUCUCAUCCAUAGAGAUUAGAAUAGUCUACACUUUACAUAAAGUGCGUUGUUUCAUCUUAUUUGUUGUGUCAUCUGCUUGAGCAUGCUUCUACUUUUAUUAUUUCAAAUUUAUUUUCUGGAUACAAAAGUAAUUCAUCCUUUUUCAUGUAUAUAACACAUCCAUUUGUAAUUUUUUCAGAUUUGGAAAACUGAAAAAUGAUGUUCGAUAUCAUUCAAUUUAUAUCAGGUUCUAUAAUAACAUGCCUUCUAUACCAAAGCUGAUUCCUUAAACAUAUUAGUAAAAGUAACUCGUUUUCUAAUAACAGGAGUAUCUGGUUUCCAAUAUUCUGUGUAAAGAGUUUCUCCAGUAGUUUUUUGGUAGUAUUGAAAACAACUGAUAGAAUAUGUCUCAUUAUUUCAUAUUCUUACCGAUUCCUUUUGAUCCUAGGCUUCAGAAUCUGUGAUGCGAAACCAAGACCUUUUAAUUGUUUUAAGUUGAUGUACUUAUUAAAGUUUUGUGAUUUGUUGCUAUGUGAAGAUAAUGAGUAUGGAUACGGUAGAAGAGUCAUGAUUAUUCUAUUCCUUAAAUAAAAUACUGAUGUCAUGAUAUUUUUAUUACUAAACCUAUAUGAAAAGUGGUUUAGGUCCUGUUUAGGAGAUUUUCUCAUUAGUUGCUCUAAUUUGAUGGAAUAAAGUUAUGUAUGAGGUUGCAUACUUGGAACUAAAAGCUGGACAUCAAUCAAUCAGGCGAAUCUUGAAUUAGAAUUUUGAUACUCUAGAGCUUGAGUUUUACGAGAUAGAGAAUCCUUUUCUCUUGGCUUGCACAUUCUCUUGCCUAUCUAUUAGGAGUUUUGUUACUAUAUUGAGAUGACCUUUCUUCUUUUAACAGAUCAAGAUUUACAAUAUACAAGCUGGAUUCUAAAGAACUGGCCUGCUACCCUUGAAGUAAGUGCAGAACAAUUGAAGCAAUCUACUUUGGUUUUGUUACAACCUGUUUAGAAAUGUCACAUUUGUAAAAGCUAUAAUUUUAUUCUCUUUUGUUUGGAGUUGACAAAUAUAAUGUCAUGUAAUCUGAAUGUGUAUAUUUUUAUAU